RNA transcript from Hirundo rustica (Barn swallow), 3182 nucleotides. It is a transcript of the gene named N-6 adenine-specific DNA methyltransferase 1, with no coding region annotated. The record is from RefSeq and is a predicted model, not a curated record. NCBI's taxonomy places the organism in Eukaryota, Metazoa, Chordata, Aves, Passeriformes, Hirundinidae. The transcript is spliced from 9 exons.
GGGAUGGCGCUGCCCACGCCGCGCUACGAGCACCUGGGCCCGCGGGGGCCCUUCGGGGACGUGUACGAGCCGGCCGAGGACACCUUCCUGCUGCUCGAUGCGCUGGAGCGGGACGCGGACAGGCUGCGGGAGGCUCGAGUCGAGAUCUGCCUUGAAAUAGGAUCUGGAUCUGGUGUGGUUUCAACAUUUCUGGCUUCUUCCAUCCUUGGACCCAGUGCGCUGUACAUAUGCACAGAUAUCAACCCCAUGGCAGCUUACUGUACCCAGGAGACAGCUCUACUUAACAAUGUUCACCUGCAGCCUGUCAUUACUGACUUGGUCAAAGGAUUAUCCCCAAGAUUAAAUGGGAAGGUUGAUCUGCUGCUGUUUAAUCCACCAUAUGUGGUAACACCUUCUGAAGAGGUGAAAAGCCAUGGAAUAGAGGCAUCCUGGGCUGGGGGCAAACAGGGCAGAGAAGUAAUGGAUAGAGUUUUCCCAUUAGUACCAGACCUGCUUUCACCAGGAGGAUUAUUCUACUUGGUCACAAUUAAAGAAAAUAAUCCAGAUGAAAUUCUGGAAACAAUGAAGAAAAGUGGCUUAAAAGGCACACGAGUACUUUCCAGACAAGCAGGACAAGAGAUGCUGACAAUCCUCAGAUUUAGGAAGUCUUGAUAACUUCUCUUCACCCACCAGGAUCAGCGUUCUCAGCACGGAUCACUUUGGCCAUGAUUAAGGACCAGAGUCUUCCACGUCUCCCUCUGACCUUCAGAGAAGAAGAAAGAGCCUGGUUAAAAUACACAGAUGCUCAGAGUUCACCACAAGAGCAUUUGGAGGAAGUUUGGAUGAGAGCACAGAUGGAAAUACAGUGGCACUUUAUACAAUGCAAAAUGUGAAGGCAGAGUAAGGAGUUGUUUCACUUGUUCUCACAUACCUGUCAAAAAUUUUGCUUCUCUACUACUCAGGGUACUGAACUUCUCAUCUCUUCCAACAUAUGAAGAUGUUCCAGCAGCAGAUAAGGAGGAUUCUCCAAUUCUUCAAUCCCUUGUAAUGAGCACAACAGUUCUGCAGCUCAUUAAACACCUUCCCCAAGCUUCAGAGAAGGCUUCUCAAGGAAUGAUGGAAAAUAUUAUUUUUAGUAAUUUUUGUGUUUGGAUGGAGUUUGUGAUGAUCAGGAGAAUCCUGCUGAUGUUUGUGAGGAACUGAAAAGGCCUGACAAAAAUUCCAAUCCAGCCUAAAUGAAAAAUAUUUAUGGAAGGAAACUCCUCGAGUACAAGUGCACAGACAGCAGGGCUCCACUUGAACCAAAACACUCUCACCACAAAUUGUGUUUUUGUGCACUGAAGACACCUGGUGGCUGCAUCUACAGCCAGCUCCGAGAGAAAAAUUGGUUAUUCAGGGAAGUUUUUCUCUUGUUGAGACUUAAUUACCACCUUGAGCCAUUCUAUUUUUAUGGUAUCAUUAUGAUACAAAUGAGAUCUUUUCAGUCUCCAAAUGGUAGGUUAGAUUUUUUAGUUUUGUUUUUUUUCUAACUCAGUCCAUGGAUUUGCGACACUGCAAGAGUCUAGUUUUGCUUUAAAAGCAUGUUUCAAGGGAUAGUAAAUGCUAAAUCAAUAUAAAGUAAGUAUUUGUCAAAGUAAGGAUGAGAGUCCUAAUCCUAAACUGUAUAAUUAGGAAAUGGAGAUGGCAGAAAAAGAUGUCACCAGAUGGGCACUGAUUUGCACUGUCUGUAGUAACUCAGUAACUUCGCUGAAUCAUAGCAGACAUGAGGUAUUUAAAACCCCUCAUUCAGUGCAAUUGAAUUCAAAGGACUAAUUCAAUGUAAACACAGCUGGCACAGUUCUCUCUGUUGGAUAGGAUUAUUUUUGAAGAAGAGGGUGAAAUUCAGACCAGAGGAUUGCUGUAAAUAGAAACGUUCUUUACCUGAUUCAGUCCCCUUUGUCAGGGCUGUUCCGACUUUACUGAAUGCAAGUGAAAAGAAAAACCCAACCCUAACCUAUGCAAUGUUCUUUCUGUCCCACCUCAGUUUUUCUUCUGACAAGACCAACGUUCUAUUUCGGGGCUGCAUUUUUCCUGUUUGCAGGAAACCACAGGGUGAGACACAGUGUGCUGGGAGUGGGCUCCAGGAAGUCUGCUGAAAAUUACCUUUUAACACUGUGCCUUAAAGGAACAGCAGCAUUCCAGUAUCCCGUCAGCUCCUUGCCUGAGCUCAGGAUUUGCUGCUGUGCCGGCCAAGGUGGCUCCUGCAGCUUUACUCCUGUGAUUCCCUGUUAAAGGAGGGAUCAGCUCCUUCACUUCGGUGCAAGUCCUUCACAACACGAGAUUCUUUGCAUCUCUCCACUUUUCCCUUGGGAAUUUCAGUUCCAGGAGAUGUGCUGAGCCUUGCUAAACCAAAGCACACAUCUUGAGCCAGGUUCUGAACUGUAGGCUGAGCUUAGGUGCUCUCACAGGGGAGCUCAGUUCAGGCAGUCCAGAGCUGGUUAAAGCUUCACUCGGGGGUUUGCUGUCUGUAAAACACUUCCCUAAGCACAGCCAUGGGGACUGUAGCUGUUGGAUUUGUCUUGAGGUAAUGACAGGCUUCAGAAAUAAGGGGAGGGAGGAAGCAAUUUAAAGCUAAUUAUAGAAAUUAAGGUGAGAAGGUGUCAAUUACUGCACUAAAAUCCAAUGCUGAAUUUGAGCUGUUUUGUAUGCUGCAGGACAGAUUAAAAAACCACUCGAGGCAAACCAAUAUACAAACCUCUCCUGAGAACCUCUAAAGUCCCUAAAUAUUUUUCUUCCAGCUCUAAACAGAACUACUGAACAAUAUCUUCAACUGAGCUGUAGUAGCUCUCUGUAUUCUGCCACUCAUCCUGCACUUUCUGCUUCUACCUGAGAUAUGCUUUUGGACAUGAAAGAGGUGGCUUCUACCACCACAUGAGCCACAAAUUCCAAACCCCUUGUAAAAAAGUGGUGGAAAGAGAAAGACAAAAAAAAACAAACCCCAAAACAGAACUGCCACAGAUUGUCUCUCCUCCAGCCUAAUGCAAAUAACAAAUGUCAGACCUAAUUAUCAGUAUCACUGUGGCCUGAAAGUUGUGUGUACUUGAUCCUGCUGCACCCUGGAUAUGGAUUGAACUGCUCUGAUUCAGUUAAAAAGUUAUGCAAGAGCCUCUUUAAUGUUCCCAUGAAGCAUUUCAAAAUGUCUGUCAGUCAAGAGAAGAACAUAC